CAAAGUUCAAUGAAAUAAAGAUGGUAGGGAUCUGGAAUCUCCCUUGAUGAUAUUGCAUCCAAGGAAUAAACUCUAUGGUUCUUGAUUAAAGAUUAAAUGCAGGAUAGAUCUAAUCAUGGUAUAUGUUUCAUGAACAUAUGAACUCAAUUUCUAAGCAUCCGUCGUGCUUUCUACGUCUACGACGAAUCAAAUACUAAAGCAAUCCAUAUAUCAAUAAUCAUAAUCCAUUAAAGAUCUAUCUAUGAAAUAACUACGCAUGAAUCAAGAACAUAUCAAUAAAUAUAAACCAUUGAAAGCAAAAGUUUAGAGUUUACUUCAAAGAGCAAUACAUCAAAGGUUCCUCCAUCACCCUCCCUAAGAAAUUAGCCACUCA
Molecule: long non-coding RNA, 373 nt
Filed under: Phoenix dactylifera (date palm)
Lineage: Eukaryota; Viridiplantae; Streptophyta; Magnoliopsida; Arecales; Arecaceae
Description: long non-coding RNA (PDAC_LNC008100)
Source: RNAcentral